Molecule: long non-coding RNA, 1542 nt
Filed under: Anas zonorhyncha (Eastern spot-billed duck)
Lineage: Eukaryota; Metazoa; Chordata; Aves; Anseriformes; Anatidae
Description: lncRNA (ENSAZOG00000018200.1)
Source: RNAcentral
CAACUUUUGUAAUAAUAGGAAGCUAGUUACAGUAAACAGUGGUAAAUAACACACUCAUAAAAUCCAGCGGGGAAUAAAUGAUUUGUUCUUAUACAGAAAAACAAAAAAAGGAGACAUUUCUUUAUUUUUAAAUAAUGUUGUGCUCCACCCACACUGUCUCCAGUAUAUCCCAUAACAGUGUUGGCUUUUGAGAAAAAUGCAUAUAAUGACCAGACUCAGGCUCCUCAGUCUUCUUGCACAGAAGCAUGACCAGAUAAUAAAACAAAGAUGCUGGCUUACCAAAAGAUUCACAACGAACUGUUUGUGACACAUUCAUUCACCACUCACUUUCUCCACUUUUUACAUCUAGCAAGAGUUUGGCGACUAGAUUUAUUCCUGAUUAGUGCUGGUGAGAAUGAAAACAGAAUGAGCACAAUACUAUUUCUAUCUGUGCCCAGUAUAUAUAGUACACUACUUACAAAAUAUUUAUCCGUGUUUCCUCCCACCCACUACUUUGUUACAUUCAUCACUGCCUGGGAGGAGAGGUAGAAGACACAGCAGCUAUAUGGAGAUUGGAAGGGAUGUUUACUUGAAGGAGAUUUGCUGUGAUUUAUAAAAAAAAUAAAAUAAUAAUAAUAAUAAACUUUUUAAAAGACUACUUUCCAACAUCUUUCUGGGAGUAAACAAGUUUACUUAUACUGAUAGAUUGUUCCAGUGCCCAUAAACAAUCUGUUGCCAUUUCCACUAUGAACAAUUUUUAUAAUUAGAAAGUUUUUACUUAGUCUCUCUUAUGGAAAAUUAAGCCCGCGAUGACUUCUCAUAUCCCCUGUGGACAGAGAGAAGUUUAUUCUCUGCCUUUCUGCAACAACCUUGUACAUGUUUGACAUCUCAUGUUUAUCCCCUGACCAACACCAAUUCUCCAUCUCUCUCUCCCCAGAUUUUCAGCCCUGGUGCUGGUCUCCACUGCAACUUUCCUCUCCUUACUUGCUUGAGCACAGUGCUGAAGACCAGACAGUGGCUCUCCAGGCAUAUAUGUAUCUGGGUGAUGUUGUGCAGCAAGUGACAGUGUCUAGGAAACAUCCCCAGAACAUCACAAAAAUAUCUGCGCUCCUGAUUUGGGGAGAGGAUGUGCUGCAUGGCCCAGAGGAAGCUCACGAGCAUCUCUCACCUGAGGAACCAGCCACCAAAUCUGUUGACAGUUUACAUGGUACACAGGAGGCAACUCUGCCCUGGGCAGUUCUUUGGGCUCCAUGAGCACGAGCUUGUUCAGACACGACUCCUGGGGACAGAACUGCUGGCUGGAUUGCUGGACACACCAACAGCAAAGGGAAAUGUUCUCCUCCUUAAUCCAUACACGAGGCGGUAAUGCAGGUACUGUGUUCUCCCUGGGUGCUAAUACAGCUUCAUGAUGUUACUGCAUCGUGAAGCAGAGGCAAAGCAGAAUACCCUUGGCUCACUGUGCUGCCUCUUACGUCUCCCUGAAGCCCCUAACCCAGCGCUGACUGGCAUAGGAAAUGGCUGAAGCCACAGCAGUUGCACUUUUAAGAAACACCUAUUCAUUUC